CUUGUCACAUCAAUGUAGAUUCUAAAUUUUCUCUUCCAGCUUGCAUCGAUUACUCUGUAGGUUACCUUUGCCUCCACUUAAAGCACUAAGAAGUGCUGCUAAGCUUAACUGGCAACACUAAUAUGUCUGCUGUAUGAGUGAUUAUGGGUAAGUCCAAGGGUAAGACUGAUUUGUAGCCUGUCUAAAGGUUUCUUCACAUCAGAAUUGAUCACAACAAUGUAAUCAAAGAAUCAACCUCAGAAAUGGGAUGUUGUGACUGGUUUUCAUGUGGCCACCUUUAUCUCUCAAUUCAUACUUCGAUCCAUUUGCUACAACUGUUUAAUUUAACUUUAGGGACAUUAUUAUGCAGAGCCUGACACUGAAGUUUUGAAUAAAUAUCAUGGACCAAGACUGGAGAUGUUAGAGAUGGAGAGCCAGUCUGCCACAGUACACUCUUGUCACACACAUGUGACUAUGAAGGAGCUGAGUGGACCAAGUGGCGGUAAUUACCUGCCAGGCCAGGGGGUGGUGGGGUGCACUAAACCUAACUCUGUUAUCUCUGCAGGCCAAAUAAGGGAAAACCUACCUGAUUCAACAUCACUUCCGGUUCUGGCCAGAUGACAUCACUUCCAUUUUUCGGCUUAUAAAGCUGCCAUCUUUCUUAUUCUCAUCAGUUCAGCUCAGGACUCAAAACGUUGCACAUGAGUGCCCUUAAACAACCCUUUUGCAGCCAAAGACAAUAUAGCUGCAGUACUUCAGGAACUGUAAAGAUGGAAAGCGUUUCCCACCUUGGCAAUUGGCCUCAUUCAGAAUUCAAGCUAAGGAUAGAGCUGCCCUGGCAAGAGGAAAAAAGGAAGGCCUAACAGAAGGUUUAUGGAUAUGGUGAGAGAGGACAUGCAAGUGAUGGGUGCUACAGAGCAAGGUGCUGAAGACAGGAAGAUAUGGAAAAAGGUGAUCUGCUGUGGCAACCCCUAACAGGAGCAGCCAAAAGAAGAAGAUUAUUAUUAAUAUUGUUGUUGUUAUUUUAUCAUUUUAUAGGAAAAUAAGUUUAUGGAGGAUUUGCAUAUUGAAUCUCAUUGUAUCAUACAAUAACAAUAAAG
This is a long non-coding RNA of Erpetoichthys calabaricus (reedfish), 1079 nucleotides long. RefSeq lists it as uncharacterized. NCBI's taxonomy places the organism in Eukaryota, Metazoa, Chordata, Cladistia, Polypteriformes, Polypteridae. The transcript is spliced from 3 exons. The record is from RefSeq and is a predicted model, not a curated record.